UUUAGCUUGCUAAAUUUUUUGAGAGCGGCGAACGGGUGAGUAACACGUUGGUAUCUGCCCCCAAGUCAGGGAUAGCCAUUGGAAACGAUGAUUAAUACCGGAUAGUCUCUUCGGAGUAAAGAUUUAUUGCUUGGGGAGGAGCCUGCGUUCUAUCAGCUUGUUGGUAGUGUAAAAGACUACCAAGGCUAUGACGGAUACCUGGUCUGAGAGGAUGAUCAGGCACAAUGGAACUGAGACACGGUCCAUACUCC
Molecule: ribosomal RNA, 251 nt
Filed under: uncultured bacterium
Lineage: Bacteria
Description: partial 16S ribosomal RNA
Rfam family: Bacterial small subunit ribosomal RNA
Source: RNAcentral